This 675-nucleotide unclassified non-coding RNA is filed under the name Xenophoma microspora. Its description in RNAcentral is "sequence contains 28S rRNA gene". It matches the Rfam family "Eukaryotic large subunit ribosomal RNA", at positions 236 to 932 of the family's 3401-position model. Lineage: Eukaryota; Fungi; Ascomycota; Dothideomycetes; Pleosporales; Phaeosphaeriaceae. The record is from RNAcentral.
CCUUCGCCGUGUAAAGCCCCUUCGACGAGUCGAGUUGUUUGGGAAUGCAGCUCUAAAUGGGAGGUAAAUUUCUUCUAAAGCUAAAUACUGGCCAGAGACCGAUAGCGCACAAGUAGAGUGAUCGAAAGAUGAAAAGCACUUUGGAAAGAGAGUCAAACAGCACGUGAAAUUGUUGAAAGGGAAGCGCUUGCAGCCAGACUUGCCUGUAGUUGCUUAUCCGGACUUUUGUCCGGUGCACUCUUCUGCGGGCAGGCCAGCAUCAGUUUGGGCGGUUGGAUAAAGGUCUCUGUCAUGUACCUCUCUUCGGGGAGGCCUUAUAGGGGAGACGACAUGCAACCAGCCUGGACUGAGGUCCGCGCAUCUGCUAGGAUGCUGGCGUAAUGGCUGUAAGCGGCCCGUCUUGAAACACGGACCAAGGAGUCUAACAUCUAUGCGAGUGUUUGGGUGUCAAGCCCAGACGCGUAAUGAAAGUGAACGGAGGUGGGAACCCUUUGGGUGCACCAUCGACCGAUCCUGAUGUCUUCGGAUGGAUUUGAGUAAGAGCAUGGCUGUUGGGACCCGAAAGAUGGUGAACUAUGCUUGAAUAGGGUGAAGCCAGAGGAAACUCUGGUGGAGGCUCGCAGCGGUUCUGACGUGCAAAUCGAUCGUCAAAUUUGGGCAUAGGGGCGAAAGACU